AUGUCCCCGGAGCAGGAAGGGGGAGGACACAACCCUGAGGCAGCGGAGAUCCCGCUCGUGUCCCCCCCGCCCGGCCCGGAGCUGCGGGAGGGGACACGGCCGGGGCAGCCCCCGGUGUCACAGCACGGGGCUGGCGGAGGGGACGGGCUGGUUUGGGGUCACAGUGGGGACAAACUGAUUUUUGGGGUGGCGGUGGGGACGGGCUGGAUUUGGGGUCACAGUGGGGACAGGCUGGAUUUGGGGUGGUUUUGGGGACAGGCUGGAUUUGGGGUAACAGAAGGCACAGGCAGUUUUGGGGUGGCAGUGGGCACAGGCUGGAUUUGGGGUCACACCCAGCCCGGCUACCAGCAGGUCCUGCAGGUCAUGGGAUGGCUUUGGGGCAGGAACAUGGGAUUGGGAAUUCAGUGGGGUGGCUGUGCCCUCCCCGGGGUGAGGGGACAGAGCAGGGGGGACACCGAGCAGCACUUGGUGGCACUGCCACGCUCGAGUGCCUUUUGACCCUGUGUGCUCAGCAAGGAGGGUCCCAUCCCCAGUACAUCCCAAAUUCCCCAAUUUUCAUGGUCCCUCUGUCCUGGCUGUCCCCUCCCAGCCCAGCCCUGUCACACAUCUCUGCCACCGGCAGCUCCAGUGAGGGUAAAUUUUUGAUGAAGCAGGGAUUAAAUAUUUGUGGCUGCCGCUCGAGAUUUCAAUAAUUCAGCGGGGAAGGGCGGGCGAGGCCGGGGCGGCUCCGGCCGUGUGGCACAGGGGGACACGGUGGCCACGUGGAGCACGGAUGUGCCCGGCUGGGAAUCCCGGGCAGAACCAGCGAGAGGGAAAAGCCUCCAGGAGCGGAGCUGCUCGGGAUGGGUUUGGGUUGGAAUUUUCCCGGCGUGUUUGGGUGGUUUUGUGUCCCUGAACAAGCGUGGGAGCGGCGGCAGCAGAGCCUGAGCUUCCCACGGGGCUGAUCCCGCAUUCCCAGCGCAUCCCAGGGCUCUGAUCCCGCAUUCCCACCGCAUCCCACGGGGCUGUUCCCGCAUUCCCACCGCAUCCCAGGGCUCUGAUCCCAGCGCGUCCCAUGGGGCUGAUCCCACAGGGCUGUUCCCGCAUUCCCAGCCCAUCCCAUGGCUCUGAUCCCACCGAAUUCCCAGCGCAUCCCAGGGCUCUGAUCCCAGAGCAUCCCACAGCUCUGAUCCCAGCGCAUUCCACGGGACUGUUCCUGCAUUACCAGCGCAUCCCACGGCUCUUAUCCCAGUGAAUUCCCAGUGCACCCCACAGGACUGAUCCCAGCCCAUCCCACGGCUCUGAUCCCAGCGCAUCCCACGAGACUGUUCCUGCAUUCCCAGCGCAUCCCACGGCUCUGAUCCCGCAUUCCCAGCCCAUCUCAGGGCUCUGAUCCCGCAUUCCCAGGACUCUGAUCCCACCACGCCGCUCCAUCCCGCGGCCGGGAGCACAAAACUUUCUUCCCCUGGAAGAAAGGAAAGCCGAGGAUUCGCCCGGUUCUCCCGUUGCCACGGCAACCCCCAAACUUCCAUCGGGAGAAUCGCCCAGGGCCCGCAAUCCCGCUCCGCUCCCGGCUGGGUUUUCCCUGCCCCGUCCCUUCCCGGCAAUUCCAGGGUGUCAAAUCAACUCCAGGAGAGGCCAAGGAAUGUCCCCAGCACGCUCCUGUCCCCGGGAGAGCCCGGAAAAGGCUCCUGGGGGACAGGGAUGCUCUUCCCAUUUCCAUUUUUAAUACCAGGGAUAUACAUCCCCACCUCUCUCCGCAGUGCCGUGGUGGGAAUGAAAAUCCACUUCCAACACUUGGUUAUUAUUCCUACUAAUAAUAAUUUUAAAAAUUGGCUGGAGGAGGUGUUGCUGACCUUGGCACGAAGAGUGAGCAGGGGCUCAGCACCGGGUGGGGUAAAUGGGAUUUUUGGCCUCAUCCCAAGUCAGCAACUCCUCCCGGAGCCGGUCAUUAAUCCCAGGAAAUGCCCCGUGGCUCGGGGCAGCGAUGAUUUAUUGCUGCAGGAUCCCGUCCCCGACAUCCCGGGGCCAAAUCCUGGAGCCGCUCCAGGCA
This 2032-nucleotide long non-coding RNA is filed under the name Ficedula albicollis (Collared flycatcher). Its description in RNAcentral is "lncRNA (ENSFALG00000026612.1)". Lineage: Eukaryota; Metazoa; Chordata; Aves; Passeriformes; Muscicapidae. The record is from RNAcentral.